AGAGUUUGAUCAUGGCUCAGAUUGAACGCUGGCGGCAUGCCUAACACAUGCAAGUCGAACGGCAGCGCGGACUUCGGUCUGGCGGCGAGUGGCGGACGGGUGAGGAAUGCAUCGGAAUCUACCUUUUCGUGGGGGAUAACGUAGGGAAACUUACGCUAAUACCGCAUACGACCUACGGGUGAAAGUGGGGGACCGCAAGACCUCACGCGAUUAGAUGAGCCGAUGUCCGAUUAGCUAGUUGGCGGGGUAAUGGCCCACCAAGGCGACGAUCGGUAGCUGGUCUGAGAGGAUGAUCAGCCACACUGGAACUGAGACACGGUCCAGACUCCUACGGGAGGCAGCAGUGGGGAAUAUUGGACAAUGGGCGCAAGCCUGAUCCAGCCAUACCGCGUGGGUGAAGAAGGCCUUCGGGUUGUAAAGCACUUUUAUCGGGGACGAAAUCCGGAAGGUUAAUACCCGUCCGGGAUGACGGUACCCGAGGAAUAAGCACCGGCUAACUUCGUGCCAGCAGCCGCGGUAAUA
RNAcentral lists this ribosomal RNA (522 nucleotides) under uncultured bacterium. RNAcentral describes it as "bacterial SSU rRNA". It matches the Rfam family "Bacterial small subunit ribosomal RNA", at positions 8 to 525 of the family's 1533-position model. The record is from RNAcentral.